This 492-nucleotide ribosomal RNA is filed under the name uncultured bacterium. Its description in RNAcentral is "partial 16S ribosomal RNA". It matches the Rfam family "Bacterial small subunit ribosomal RNA", at positions 29 to 507 of the family's 1533-position model. The record is from RNAcentral.
AGUGAACGCUGGCGGUAGGCCUAACACAUGCAAGCCGAACGGCAGCACAGUAAGAGCUUGCUCUUACGGGUGGCGAGUGGCGGACGGGUGAGGAAUACAUCGGAAUCUACUUUUUCGUGGGGGCUAACGUAGGGAAACUUACGCUAAUACCGCAUACGACCUACGGGUGAAAGCAGGGGACCUUCGGACCUUGCGCGAUUGAAUAAGCCGAUGUCGGAUUAGCUAGUUGGCGGGGUAAAGGCCCACCAAGGCGACGAUCCGUAGCGCGUCUGAGAGGAAGAACCGCCACACUGUAACUGAGACUCGGUCCAGACUCCUAGGGGAGGAAGCAGUGGGGAAUAUUGGGCGAGGGGGGCAAGCCUGAUCCAGCCAUACCGGGUGGAUGAAGAGGGCGUUCGGGUUGUAAAGCCCUUUUGUUGGGAAAGAAAAGCAGCAGGUUAAUACCCCGCUGUUCUGACGGUACCCAGAGAAUAAGCACCGGCUAACUUCGUG